Daphnia pulex (common water flea) is the source of this 575-nucleotide long non-coding RNA. RefSeq lists it as uncharacterized. Lineage: Eukaryota; Metazoa; Arthropoda; Branchiopoda; Diplostraca; Daphniidae. The record is from RefSeq and is a predicted model, not a curated record. The transcript is spliced from 4 exons.
UCAAGUGUCAAAUCUAGGUUUUUUCAUCCCGGAGUUGUCGGAUGACCUAAAAACCGAUUUAGAAUAUCCCUACUCUUUUUAAACUGGCUAUUACCGUGCGUUAUCUCUCACAGCUAAUGAUGAGUUCAUCGAAAAACCGGAGAUCUAUCGUUACGAAGUUGAGAAUUUUGUCUGAUGUCAUUGUGCUAUAUCACCAUCCCCGCCAUCAAAUUACUCUUGAAUUUUUUGGUGCGUUACCACACAGAUCGUUAGAAAAAUUGGGCCAAAUGAGACAAUCAUCAAUGAUCACAGGAAAGGGGGGGAGACAGGUAGCCUACUUUUUCAGUGGUGUUAUCACUUCUACAGUCUGUGGAGAGGGGACUUCAUUAUUAGUAUGCAUAAGCGCCGAUGAAAGCAGAAUUUCUAUAGUAGUUAAAUGGAAUUUCAUCUUGAAUGAAAACGCAAAACUGCAGUUUUUUAGUCAUUAAAGGAGCCUAUUUACAGGAAUAAAGGUCAGUCUAGAAUAUUAGAUGUUUAAUAAAUUUUUAUUUUUCAAUGAAAAAUCACACAGUGUUUACUUAUUCUUUUUCUUUUGC